RNAcentral lists this ribosomal RNA (429 nucleotides) under uncultured bacterium. Its description in RNAcentral is "bacterial SSU rRNA". It matches the Rfam family "Bacterial small subunit ribosomal RNA", at positions 355 to 775 of the family's 1533-position model. The record is from RNAcentral.
UCGAGAAUUUUUCACAAUGGACGAAAGUCUGAUGGAGCGACGCCGCGUGGAGGAUGAAGGUUCUUGGAUUGUAAACUCCUGUCACUGCAGAACAAGGAUAUACCAGUUAACAGCCGGUGUAUUUGAUGGUAUGCGGAGAGGAAGGGACGGCUAACUCUGUGCCAGCAGCCGCGGUAAGACAGAGGUCCCGAGCGUUGUUCGGAUUCAUUGGGCGUAAAGGGUGUGUAGGAGGUCGGGUAAGUCAGGUGUGAAAUCUCACAGCUUAACUGUGAAACUGCGCUUGAUACUGCUCGGCUAGAGGAUCGGAGGGGGUAUCGGAAUUUAUGGUGUAGCAGUGAAAUGCGUAGAUAUCAUAAGGAACACCGGUGGCGAAGGCGGAUACCUGGAAGAUUCCUGACUCUGAAACACGAAAGCCAGGGGAGCAAACGG